AUCGCUUCUCGGCCUUUUGGCUAAGAUCAAAGUGUAGUAUCUGUUCUUAUCAGCUUAAUAUCUGAUACGCCCUCCAUCGGGGGGCAUCGAUAUUAAACUACUGUUUGGAAGCAGGAGACUAUCUCGAGCUUGCUCAGACUUCUCCGCGGGUUGGCCCGGUAUUGCAGUACCGCCGGGAUUGGCCCACCCUGU
Helobdella robusta is the source of this 192-nucleotide small nuclear RNA. It matches the Rfam family "U2 spliceosomal RNA". From Rfam's summary of the family: U2 is a small nuclear RNA (snRNA) component of the spliceosome (involved in pre-mRNA splicing). The record is from Rfam. Lineage: Eukaryota; Metazoa; Annelida; Clitellata; Rhynchobdellida; Glossiphoniidae.